Non-coding RNA from Prunus avium (sweet cherry), 324 nucleotides. NCBI's taxonomy places the organism in Eukaryota, Viridiplantae, Streptophyta, Magnoliopsida, Rosales, Rosaceae. The record is from RefSeq and is a predicted model, not a curated record.
UGCAGAGCAAUUUAUUAUUGAGUACUGUGGAGAAGUGAUAUCAUGGAAAGAAGCAAAGCAAAGAUCUCAAGCUUAUGAAAUUCAAGAUCUCAGGGAUGCAUUUAUUAUUUCUCUCAAUGCAUCAGAAUGGACCUCUUCAUCCAGUAACUCGCCUUCAGUUUGGGUUGGUUUGUUAUUGUAGGGCUCAGAUUCAUCUAUAUACCUUCCACAAGGAGAUAAAAUGAAAUGAGAAUAUCAGCAGCAGAGAGGGGGAAAAGUUCUAUUUUACUGUUUUGAUGUGCAGAAUGUUGUGUUGAAUCUGAUGGGGCUGCUGUUUGGAAGGAU